AUGUUUCUAAUUUUCUCAAGCCCUCUCCUACGCCUUCAUCUCUGCAUCUAAUUUUCUCUGUUCUCUCCCUUCCUCGCACCACAAUCUUCAAACCCUAGCUGUUCUCUCCCUUCCCCGCACCACAUUCUUCAGACCUAGUUGUUACUCUCUUCCCCGCAAGUCCGAGCUCUUAUUGCUCGUGGAACUCUUUGGUUUGUGUUCGGCUUGGUCUUCCGUUGCUUAGGAACGAAAACUUGGUGCAUUUGUGGGCUGCGCGGUGCCUCCAAUCGAGGGGCUCUGGUGUGUGUUCGCUCUUGCACCGACCAUCAAGGUAAAUCGACAUUUAAUUACUAUGUUCGUCGCUCUCUCUGCUUUUGCCUCUCUGUACAGAUUUUCUAAGAACUUGGUUAAUGGGUGAUAGGGAUAAGAUAAAGCACCUGAAACCCUUCUUACGAGCUUGGUUGAGACUGAAACGAAGAAACUGUGGAAUCUCUGGUACCUCUUAUUUUGGUUCUGCAAGAAGAGGAGGCAACGAAGGUUGAAGUUUAACUUCUAUUGUUUUUUUUUACG
RNAcentral lists this long non-coding RNA (549 nucleotides) under Vigna radiata. Its description in RNAcentral is "long non-coding RNA (VRAD_LNC008261)". Lineage: Eukaryota; Viridiplantae; Streptophyta; Magnoliopsida; Fabales; Fabaceae. The record is from RNAcentral.